CCCUUAGAUGUUCUGGGCCGCACGCGCGCUACACUGAUGCAUUCAACGAGCCUAUCCUUGACCGAGAGGUCCGGGUAAUCUUUGAAACUGCAUCGUGAUGGGGCUAGAUUAUUGCAAUUAUUAAUCUUCAACGAGGAAUGCCUAGUAAGCGUGAUUCAUCAAAUCGCGUUGAUUACGUCCCUGCCCUUUGUACACACCGCCCGUCGCUCCUACCGAUUGAGUGUGUUGGUGAGGAGUUUGGAUUGGCCUCGGAAGGUGGUUCGCCACCGUCCGUAGCUGAGAAGUUCUCCAAACCGCCCCACUUAGAGGAAGGAGAAGUCGUAACA
RNAcentral lists this ribosomal RNA (326 nucleotides) under uncultured eukaryote. RNAcentral describes it as "partial 18S ribosomal RNA". It matches the Rfam family "Eukaryotic small subunit ribosomal RNA", at positions 1470 to 1796 of the family's 1831-position model. The record is from RNAcentral.